RNAcentral lists this transfer RNA (67 nucleotides) under Escherichia coli EC4196. RNAcentral describes it as "partial tRNA-Met". It matches the Rfam family "tRNA". Rfam says of the family: Transfer RNA (tRNA) molecules are approximately 80 nucleotides in length. Their secondary structure includes four short double-helical elements and three loops (D, anti-codon, and T loops). Lineage: Bacteria; Pseudomonadati; Pseudomonadota; Gammaproteobacteria; Enterobacterales; Enterobacteriaceae. The record is from RNAcentral.
GGCCCUUUAGCUCAGUGGUGAGAGCGAGCGACUCAUAAUCGCCAGGUCGCUGGUUCAAAUCCAGCAA